This 253-nucleotide ribosomal RNA is filed under the name uncultured bacterium. RNAcentral describes it as "partial 16S ribosomal RNA". It matches the Rfam family "Bacterial small subunit ribosomal RNA", at positions 524 to 776 of the family's 1533-position model. The record is from RNAcentral.
GACGAACCGUGCGAACGUUGUUCGGAAUCACUGGGCUUAAAGGGCGCGUAGGCGGGCUGUCGCGUCUGGGGUGAAAUCCUCCGGCUCAACCGGGGAAGGGCCUCGGGUACGGACGGCCUCGAGGGGGGUAGGGGCGUGCGGAACUGUGGGUGGAGCGGUGAAAUGCGUUGAUAUCCACAGGAACUCCGGUGGCGAAGGCGGCACGCUGGACCCUCUCUGACGCUGAGGCGCGAAAGCCAGGGGAGCGAACGGG